Molecule: ribosomal RNA, 312 nt
Filed under: Fuligo candida
Lineage: Eukaryota; Evosea; Eumycetozoa; Physariida; Physaraceae
Description: partial small subunit ribosomal RNA
Rfam family: Bacterial small subunit ribosomal RNA (bases 1-251)
Source: RNAcentral
GCGAUAUUAAAACACAGUAAAAGACUGAGGAAUAACCUCUUUAAUCUGCGUUCACUGAUUAUUUUGAGUGUAGAAGACGGUUUUAGAAUUCUUGAAGAAAGGGUAAAAUUGUUGAUAUAAGAAAACUUUCGAUGGCGAAAGCAUUUACCGAUUCUAUUCUGACGCUAGGUACUAAAGCUUGGGGAGAAAGAGGAUUAGAGACCUCGUAGUCCUUGCCUUAAACAAUGAGUGUUCAACGUCUUAGAAUACUCGGAUUCACCUCAGUGAAUCCUAGAGGAUUCUUGGGGGUUUGAAGUUACGGCCGCGAAACAC